CAUGGUUAUACUUAAGUUUGUGUUUUGGUCUGUUUUCUCAUACUUAUGCAAUAGGUUUACUAUAUUUGUUGUAUGGAAUGAUUGUAAGGUGUACAUGUCUAGCGGGCAGAUGUUAUCUGACCUUGACCUCAUUUUCAUGGUUCAGUGGUUAUAGUUAAGUUUUGGUCUGUUUUUCUCAUACUUUAUGCAAUAGGUUUACUAUAUUUGUUGUAUGGAAUGAUUGUAAGGUGUACAUGUCUAGCGGGCAGAUGUCAUCUGACCUUGACCUCAUUUUCAUGGUUCAGUGGUCAAAGUUAAGUUUUUGAGUUUUGGUCUUUUUAUCUAAUACUGUCAUAGAUCAACUAUAUUUGGUGUAUGGAAAUAUUUUAUGAUCUAUAUGUCAGUUGUGCAGGUUUUUUUUUACCUUGACCUGGUUUUCACGGUUCAUUGCUACAUAACACAGAUCAAAACUUAAGCGUUCUGGAGUGAUGCCACUUUUAGAAUAAAAAAUGUUGAAAUUUUCGUUUCCGUGUUCUGCAUCCCUUGCAUGGACACAUUUUCCAUUUGUUUUAAACUCACUUGGGCCCAACUUGAUUUGUUAAGUCCUUCCAAUUUUACUUUCUUAAAUGACUAAAAUUUCAAAAAUGUAAAGGUAUGUCAUCAUGGUCAUCUUGCUUUGCUUGGCCGUACGUUUUAUGUUUUACUUGGAAGCAUUCACCAAAUUCAAUAGACAUAAUGCAGAAGGAGGAGGGUCUUUUCAUAAAAAGUGUAGUGUACACUGUGCAACAUCAAUUGUUCAGUUUUAAUACUAGUUGUAGUA
RNAcentral lists this long non-coding RNA (799 nucleotides) under Mytilus galloprovincialis (Mediterranean mussel). Lineage: Eukaryota; Metazoa; Mollusca; Bivalvia; Mytilida; Mytilidae. The record is from RNAcentral.